CUUUUAAAGGUUUUCUUCAACGGUAGUAUUAAAAUAAGUAUGUAAAGGGUGAUUUUUUAAGAGCUAUAGGAAAGUUUUUCAAAGUAAAAUUCAGAAAAGUGCAUGAAAUUUUAAUAUUUGAAGAUUAUUUCAUGCAAAUGUUGACCGCGACUGCGCUUCAAAUGGUCCAUCCGCUUAGUCCAAUUUUGGCAUACUCUUUCCAAUGUUUCGGCCGGUAUCUCACAUAUAAAUGCUCUAAUGUUGUCUUCCAAUGCGUUAAUUGAAGCAGGCUUGUCUGAAUAGACAUGAGCUUUAACAUAACCCCACAAAAAAUAAUCUAAAGGCGUUAUAUCGCACGAUCUGGGUGGCUAAUUGACGGGUCCCGAACGUGAAAUAAAAUGUUCCCCGAACUCGCCUCUCAACAAGUCCAUUGUUACGCGUGCUGUGUGGCAUGUGACACCGUCUUGCUGAAACCACAUGUCAUGUACUAUAAGUCAAGCUCUUGCAUUUUGGUCAAAAAAAAGUUGGAUAUCAUUUCACGGUAGCGCUCACCAUUCACAGUUAUGUUACGAUUCGCAGCUUCUUUGAAGAAGUACGGUCCAAUGAUACCUCCAGCCCAUAAACCGCACCAAACAGUGACCUUUUCUGGAUACAUUGGUAGCUCUUGCAAUUCUUCUGGCUUAUAUUCACUCCAAAAUCGACAAUUCUGCUUAUUUACGUACCCAUUGAUCCAAAAAUGAGCUUCGUCGCUGAACACAAUUUUUCGAUAAAAAAGUUGAUCUUCGGCCAACUUUCCAAGAGCCUAUUCACCAAAAAUUCUGCGUUGCGGUAGGUCGUUCGGCUUCAAGCUGUAUUUUGAAAGACUUCACACCUAAAUCCUUUCGCAAAAUUUUCCACGUUGUUGAGUAACAGAUUGCUGCGAACGGCGAUGAAUCGAUAAUUGAUGGUGUUCAUUAACACUGGCCUAUACAGCUGCGAUAUUCUCUUCAGUUCGCACUCUACGUAAGCGUGUUGGUGGUUUGAUGUCCAAUAAUGUAAAUUUGGUUCUUAAUUUAGUCACAAUAGCUCUAAUAAACGUUUCAGUGGGUCGUUUAAACUGACCAUAAAAUGGAAGAAGCGCGCGAUAAACUUUCAACAGAACACGCAUUUUUAUAAUAAAAUUCAAUGAUUUGCAAGCGUUGUUCGUUUGUAAGACGAUUCAUGGUUAAAUUAUAGACCAAACUGAAGAUGCUUGAUAGUGAAACAAAACACGAAACAUGCGUCAGCUGUUUAAACCAACUGUUUAAAAAGAUAAUAGGUAAAAAAUCAUCCGUUACUAAUGGUAGAUACCGCGAAAACUACGUGAACUACGACCACGAUUGAAUUCACCAUACCAUCGAUAAACACUGGUUCUUGAUGGAGCUUCAUCGCCAAAAAAUGAAUUAAGUUCAUCCAUGCAAUGUUGCUGAGUUAAUCCACGUCGAAAAUUGUAAAAAAUAAUCGCACGAAAAUGUUCACGAUUUAAUUCCAUUUUUGGACCGAGAUGAAUCUUUUAAGUUACUGUAAACAACACAAAUAGCGCUGGUAUUUCAAAACGUUCUGAGUACGUAAAAGCCAAAAAGUGUCAAACUUUGCGAUACAGCUGUCAGUUGCCAGAUUGCAACACCAAGGUUGCCAAAUCCCGAAAUAUAAAAGGCACCCCUCGUACAUGUAUAUAAAGCGGUGCAUUUUUCGAUUGCAUCGGUCGCCUAAGAUACGUUAUUUAUGUAAGGGGUACUCAAGGUACCCCUCAAGUCAUAUCAUGAAUUUUCACAGGUUCCGAUAUUUCAAGAAACAAUGUAUGAGAACGAAAAACAAGUUGAAGAUAAACUCUCAUUAAUUUAUGCGAUUAAAGCUGAUUGGGUCCCGAUUUCUUUAAACUACCUUAAAUCACUUAUGACUAUAUUUACAAAUGCAUUUUUGAAGUAAUUUUAAAGAGAGGGGGUUUUAUAUUUCACUAAGUAAAAUACAGGGUCCGGCACUCGAAGUGCAACCAAUUAGAAAAGCCAUAAAUUAGCUUUGCAAAAUUACUUUUAUUCAAUUCAAAGUAAAAAAUGAUCAUCUUUUCCCUUAACUAUGGCCUUUAGACGGUCCAGAAACGAGUCGCAAGCUGCCCGAAUGUGGCUUGCAGGUAUUUUGGCCCACUCGCGGACAAUGGCUUAUUUCAGCGCCUCGAGACUGGUGAAUCUUUUAGUUCGGACCUUGCUCUCCAAAAUGGCCCAAAGAGAAUAAUCCAUCGGAUUCGCGUCUGGUGUAUUUGUGAGCCAUUGUGUGGAUGUUAUGAAGCUUGGAACGUUGUUCUUUAGCCAUUCUUAGUUCACUCGAGCUUUGUGAGACGGUAACGAGUACUGUUGAACGUCCACGGUCUGCCACCGAAAUGUUUGUCUGCCCACGGAUUCAAAGCCACCUAGAUAAUACGUUCCUGACCACAUUUCGCAUUUACCUUGAUGCCAGUCUCGAUAAAAACGAUUGGAGAGAGCCCAUUUGCGUUUAUAGCGGCCCAAACCAUUACCUGUGGCGGGUGUUGCCUCUUGGUGGUCAAUCGUCGAUUCGAAUUCUCUUAUGAACGUCUCGAAAAUGGUUUGAAAAAUGGUCAGAUAACACAAUGUACGGAAAUUAACCGCUUUCGGCCAAGCGAAGCAACUCUUUAACGCUCUCAAGUCUAACGUUGCUGCUUUGGUAUGAGAUCAUGCGCCUUUUAGAUCUUGUAAGGCUUGAUUUUGAGAUCAUUUUUCAGUAUGCGGCGGAUGCUACGCUCAGAUAUUUUCAGUUCUUUCGCCAUUUGAUAGGCACUUCGUGGGGAAUUUCGCUCAAGGCGCUUCUUCACUUCUUGAACCAUUUCACGUGACGUUUCAGUCUUCUAAUGACCACCUCCAUGACGUUUCGCCAUGCUACCAGUAUCACUGUUAUGAGUAUUGGUGCGAUAAACAAAAACUUUAUUUAAUUGAAGGCUUAAGCUCACGAACAAUCGCUGGUUGUGAUUUUCCAGCCAAAUAUAAUGCAAUCACACUAUUACGUUUGAAAUCCAUUACUGAUUGUCUUUUUUCGCGUUCACUCUCGACAAAAUGCUUCCGCGCGCUUGUUAACAAUACUCUGGACGGCCAUUUAGCCAACUAACAGACAGCUGCGCGAGCAGUCUGAAGUUGGUAACACGUCGAGUGCCGGACCCUGUAAAUAGCUGUUCCUUUUAUCUUAACAUUUUCCUCUGCGGCCAUAACCAAGUGAAUAAAAAAAAUCACUCGUUUAAGCAAAGUAGGUUUCAAUUUUCACCGAGAAUCGAGAGAAGAUUUUUAACAAUCACAUUUGUCAGAACAUAACUAAAUGGUUAGCAAGAACAAGUAUAUUUGAUAAGUAGGAUCCCAUAAGGGGAACUGAAUGGGGCACUACAUUUUUAUUUGUAGUUGGACUCAAAAUCCCACGGCGGAAAAAUUUUUGAAAACUACGAGGAGUCGGAAUCAAAUUAUAGUUUUGGUUUUUGUUUUCGUGCCUGAAAUGUCCCAAUAGAACUAAUAAUUGGGAUUUGUUUUGUUUUAAUUCAAAAAUGUUCUGUUUUGAUUUAUUAUAAAGUUUUUUUAGGACAUUGAGAGGAUUUCAUACAAGGGGGUAGUAUAGACUUCGAUUUCUAAUUCAUCUUUCAUCAUAAAUUUCAUUGAAAUGGAAUUUACCGAUGGUUCGUUAUCGAUUACUAUUACGGAACAUCGAAGAAAAAUAUUAUAGCUCUUAAGGGUCUCCUAACAUCUAACAUAUUUUUACCUGCAUUUAUAGUUACUAAAGUGCUAUGGAUAAACGUUUUCUAAUAUACCCAUUAUCCUUUCAUCGGUGUGGAUGGAUUUAGGUAUCUGCUUGGUUGAACACGUUAAUCGGUACCUCCGCGCAGGGUAUUAGAUUAUGUCCUGAACUCUCGUCGCUAUGUGUAGUGGAUGUAAGCGAAUUUAUUUGAACGGGUAUUCUUGAUAGCGCAUCUGCGACUACAUUCGAUUUUCCAGGCUUGUAAAUAAGCUCGUAGAUAUGUUCUUCCACGAUGGCUUUCCAUCUUUUCAUUUUACUGCUCGUAUUUUUGUGGCUCAGGGCAUAUGUAAGAGGUUGGUGGUCAGUGACUAUCUUUAUUUUCUCAGAGCCAUACAGAUAACUGCGUAAAUGAUUAAGAUACCAGAUUAUAGAAAGCAUUUCUUUUUCGUUAACGGCAUAAUGCUCGUCUGCUUUGCUUAGAGUUCUUGUCCGGUGAAAGGACAGCUCCCAUAGCAAAAUCGGAGGCAUUAGUGGUCAAUUCGAAAUCUUUCUCGAAGUUCUGGUAAGGAGGGACAAUAUCUUUUGAUAUUAAUGAAUUUUUAAUAUUAUUAAAUGCGUUUAAAGCUUCUUAAUCGAAUUUUAUUUCGAUCUUCCUAUACUGAUUUUUUGAAACAUUCCCUGCUUCUCCACGAAGGAGUAGGGUUAAAGGCUUGGCUAAUUUAGAGUAGUCCCUAAUAAAACAACGGUAAUGUCCUGACAUACCUAGAAAUGAUCUUAGUUCCUUUACAUUCUUUGGCAUUGGAAAUUUUGCUGCGGCUUCCACUUUCUUGGGAUUGGUUUUUAUACCAUCGGGAGUAACGACGUAUCAACUUCCUGUUUCGCAAACUCGCAUUAAUCAACCUGUAUUUUCAUAUUAGCUCUUCUUUGGUUUUACUGAAUAUUAUUACAUCGUCGAUAUAAACGUAGCAUCUAACUUCAAUGUGCUGGCGAAGGAUGUCAUCUAAUGCCCUUUGAAACGUAGAAAGUGCAUUUUUAAGCCCGAAGGGCAGUCGGAGAAAUUCCUAUUUUCCGUUAUUCACAGAAAAUGCUAUUUUCUCUAUGUCAGAUUCGCGACGGGGUAUUUGAUGGAACCCACUCUUAAGAUCAAUAAAAGUAAAUAUUGUAGUUUAUUGUUUCCUAGGUUGGCAAGGGCCUCAUUGAUUUCGGGUAUGGGGUAUUUGUAAGGGCGUUAAGUUUCCGGUAAUCAAUAACCAUUCGAUAUUUAAUUUCGCCUGAAGCGUCAGCUUUUUUAUUAACUAUCCAGACCAGGUAUUUGUAAGCAGAUUAAGGUCUCCUUAUUAUUCCAUUAGCGUCCAUCUUCCACUCCAUCUUUGACUUGGCGUUCAAUCUCUUCUUUUAAGGCCAUUGGUACGCUUUAGAGUAGACCGAGGUAUCUGUCGUUGUUCUAAUCUCCCCUUUGACGAGCGUAGUAUAGGUCAGUUUUUCGUCUGGGUCCAAAAAUAAAUUUAGGCAUUUUGCUAUUAUGCCAUUGAUUUUAAGUUUUUGUUCUUCAGAAAGAUAGGGGAUCCUUACAGUCUGUUAAAAAGAUCUUCAUUUCGGAUUGGGUUCCUAAUUCUAGUUGAUUGAAUAUAAUUUCUGUUGGGCCCAGUAUCUAUUAAAAAGUCUAGUACGUCUCCACUUAUGGAUAUAAAUUCGUAGUAAGGAAGUGAGUUAGUCUAAAAUAUGAAUGGUAUCGAGGUUGUAGCAUUCCUGUCCAUAAUUUUUGGUUUCAAUUUUUUGUCAUUGAAUUAUUAUCUGAAUUUGGUAAUUGGCUUGGCCGUUCCAUAGUUAUUGGGAUUUUUAUUUUUCCCGUAUAUGUUGUCAGGAUCUUCAUAUGUUUGUUGCUCAUUUGGAUUUACUGAUCCCGUAUCGGUAUAAAAGUUCAUUUGCAUCUUAUUAGGUUGAUGUAUAUGUUGAUAGACUUUUUGAUAAAACCUCAGGAUGUCGUCGUUUCUUUGAGUCAAAGUUGUCAUUUGGUACUCGAGGUACUAUAUACGUCAAAUGACGUACUAUAUGACUCGAGAAUAGUAUCUAGACUGGCUUUCGCAAUGUCCAUAAAUAAAGCUCAACGACAAUCAUUAGCUGUAGCAGGAGUCAAUCUAACCAACUCAUGUUUUACCCAUGGCCAAUUAUAUGUAGCCUGCUCCAGAGUUGGCGCACCGAAAAACCUUUUUAUUUAUACUCAAAAUAAUAUAACAAAAAAUGUUGUAUAUCCGAUCGUUUUAAAUAAUACCUAAACUGACUUAAAAAAGUUAAAGUUGUUUUAUUUACAUUGCAUACUUUUUGAUAGAAAUGUGGGGUGAAACCCACGGGUAUGAGCUAGUAUUAUAUAAACUUUGGUGUCCGACUUUUUGUUAUUUUAUAUUAUGUAAAUAUGUGUCAUGCUAAUAUGCAUUGUCUACUCAUAAAUUAUACUCAAUUUCGUAGAAAUUUUCGCUUGUCAGCAAUGGAGUGGGAACUAAGGUUGUGGUAAAAGUGCAAGUGAGAUUUACGAAUUGCUGAAUGUUUGUUAGACGCACGAUCAAUCGUUUUUCCCAAACGUCUGAAGGGCAGACAGAAAAAGAGGGGAUCGACCUCGUGCGGUUCGAGAAAGAAUUCGCAGAAGUCCCAUUAUAUUUAUACAAUACCUAUAUAUCUAUAAUAUUAAAAUAAGUCGGGUUUUCCUUCCUGACGCUAUUACUCCAGAACGCACGAACCGAUUUCCACGGUUUUGCGUUCGUUGGAAAGGUCUCGUGCUCCGUGAGGUUUAUUGCAUGUACUCUGCUCAGUUAAUUUCAUGUGACAUUUAUUAUGCGCACGUUCUUUCAAACGUUAACUUAAAACCGGUAUUGUGUUCACUGUGAAAUUGUGAAAUUGAGGUUAAAGCUAUUCAUUUCCUAACAGUUCAAUUGGAUACCAUCAAAUCAAUCACGCGUAUUGUGCAAAUUUUUAUUCAACUUCAACAGCAGCAGUUGUGAUUAAGGUGUCCAAAAUGCCGAGAGGGGGAGACGUGCGAACAUCGGCCGCCGCACAAGACGUGCAAGCUAGCAACAAGUGUAUUCACAGCACUUAAGCGAAGAAAGACAAAAUAUAAUAAGAGAAAAUGCCCGAUUGAGACAACGCGCGAGCACACGAAGAUCAUUGGCAUCAUACAAUCGCUUGCCAUUCCAAUAUGAUCCCACUGCGAACUACAGUGAUGAUGACAAUUUAGAUAUUAUACCAAUAACGACUGUAUGCCAAUAUUGCAAUGCGUUAAAGUUCAAAAGAGAAACGGCUGGAUUGUGCUGCGCGAGUGGAAAAGUCAAACUGGAUCCAUUACUUACACCAUCACAGCCACUGAAACCAUUGUUCGAUGGAACUGAUUCCGAUUCCAACCAUUUUCUUUAACGCAUCCUUGAAUACAAUAACUGCUUUCGCAUGACUUCCUUUGGAGCUAAUAUCAAUCGAGAAGGCGGCUUCAUGCCGACUUGCAAGGAGUUACAUCUCUUCAUUUCUGCGAAAAAGGGGUUAAGACCGCGGCAAAGUGUACCAGGGGGAUGUCUUAGAAGGCACGGAGAAUCAGUUGAUCAGAAUUCUCUUCAAUGGAGAGUGUCGGAUCUUACAGCAAGAUUCAGCUGCAGCCCAUAAGGUAACCAAGCAAUAUAUCUUAUUCUUAGUUCAUAGCCGCAGAAAAUUAGCCAUUGUAUCCAUUGUACUACAUUGUGGUCAGUUUUGAGGAACAUUGCCUGUCUAAGACCUCGCAGAAAUUUGGAGAGUCCCAAACAAUCUUUGGUUCGAGCAGCGACGUUAAUAUAUGUAUAGGGUCCGCCAUAUAACUUUACGGAAUAAAAAAUGCCAUAAAAAAGAAACUACUCAAUAUUUUUCCAAACUGUUUGUUUUAUUUUAAGGUACAAUCCUUCCGGUUAAUGAUGGAAUACAACUUCAUUCAAAUGGCUGCCUCGGCUACCAUACCAAGGUCUUUACGCAAAAUUCGUCUCAAUGAUGUCUCCGAAAUGUCCAAUUGUUUAGAACGACGGUGAACUGAUGUUCCUGGUGAUUCACGAACACUCUCGGCCACAGCAGCAAUAUUUUCGGGUGUACGCACGGUUUUUGGUCGGUCACGCGUUGGUUUGUCAAUAAGCAACCCAGUUUCUCUUACUUUUUUCGCAAAGUAACGCACAUACGCUUCAUUCGGUGCUUUUCUUCUUCCCAUUGCCGUACGUAAUUUUCGUACACAUUCUGCAACAUUACCAUGAUUUUCUAAGUAAUGUCGAAAUAUUUCCCAGCGUUCUUUGAGCGUAUACACAACCAUUUUCGUUCAGCGGAAGAAUAAAACUAAUUUUCUGUCAAAUCAGAUGACAGCUCAGUGUUACCAUUCUUCAAAUGAUACCUAGUUCAAAUCCGUAACGAUAGAUUGCGGGCCCUGUAUAUGGAAACCGUGCGUGCUGCAAUAGCUGAAUGACCUAAUCGUUUCAAGGCUUGUGUAAAAGCAAAUGGUGACUAUUUCGUAUGAAAAUUAAAAUUUGUUUAAUACUUACUUGAUUAAAUAAAACUAACUUAAUUAAAAAUGUAAUUAUAGUCUCAUAUCCAUAACGGAUUUAACUUGUAACAGAACUUUUGGCAGGACUAAGUACAAUAUAUAAUAUGUAUAUGAAAUGUAAAUAAUCUCUCUCGUAAACUGUACAGCAACUUAAUAUCACUUUUUUCGAUUCCUUGUUCAUAACUAAUUUGCAUUCGAUGGUACGAAAAUUUGUAGAGAAUAUUUAUUGUUUUGUAGCUAUUGUGAAUGAUCCAAAUUGGGAAAUAAAAAUUACUGUAUGCGACCAGAUUAAUAGUGUUUUAAAGAAAAUAAUUAGACUAUUGUAUGUGGGCCGCCGGCCGCUAAACGCUAAGUGGCUGAGUAUACAAAUAAAAUCAAGGCGCAUCAGUAGAAUAGCUCAUUUAUUUGCGAUUUGUUGGUUUCAAUGUCAAAGUGGCACAAAUGGAGGAACCUGCAGUUUUAAGCCGACUAAAAACGGCAAAUAGUUUUUUAUGAAGAGUUUUUUCAUGGUAGAAAUACAUUCCGAGGUUUGCCAUUGCCUGCGACCACUGUUAAAUAAAAUUUCUUCUGUAAAUUAGAGUUUCAUGCACGUAUAUUCGAACCUGUGCACUUCCGAAUGGUAGUCCCGCAAAAAUCAUUCGGUUACGGCGACCGUUCAACUGCUUGAUAUACAAAUAAAUCGAAACAAAAUGGACAAACUCUAAGUAAAUGUCAAAUGCAAUUUUUUCUUGUGCUCUUUUGCAAGUCGAAUACAAAAGAAUACAGCAUAUGCAAAUAUAUAUAAAAAUAUACAUCCCAUAGUUAGUUGUCACCUCUAUACUUCCGGCAUGGACUUCUAUGGACUAAGCCACUGGUCUUAUAUGGUUCUGGAUCUUCAGACCUCCUCGAAUAUUAUCAAAAAAAAAAAUAAGGUUAAACUGAUUUUACAAUUUUAAUCAAACGAUUAACGACAUUUAACAAACGCAGCCGAUGGCACAUAGCUAACACAAGUUAUUCUAAAAUACUCGUUCUGUGCUAUGGUUUCAUAACCCCUUAAUAGCAGGAAGAACACCCUCAGAUAGUACAUUUGACUUUUUCUAAAUUCAUUUUACCCCAAACAUCAAGCGAAUAUUUAGUGGUAGGAAUUAUGCUAGAAUUUUAAAACUUUUUAUACAAUCGUUUCAAGACCAAUCAUCCCUUUUCCGAAAUUGCUUCUUGUUUAUUCAUCGGAAUGUUAAAAAUACUUUUUUUGGCAAGUCUGAGCUGAACCUUUUCAAAAAACAUUGAUCCCAAUCGUUGGGCAUUUUUUAAAAUGAGACGUGCUUAUAAAUAAUUAUCAGAUAAAACCGCAAUCAAACACGUGUGUACGAGUAGUAGUUAGGACAUAAUUUGAUUGAAUGCAGUAUACUUAUAUGUAUACCUAUACAUACAUAUGUGGU
Long non-coding RNA from Anastrepha ludens (Mexican fruit fly), 9681 nucleotides. RefSeq lists it as uncharacterized. Lineage: Eukaryota; Metazoa; Arthropoda; Insecta; Diptera; Tephritidae. The transcript has 3 exons. The record is from RefSeq and is a predicted model, not a curated record.